RNAcentral lists this long non-coding RNA (4976 nucleotides) under Sus scrofa (pig). RNAcentral's name for it is "lncRNA (ENSSSCG00000055245.1)". Lineage: Eukaryota; Metazoa; Chordata; Mammalia; Artiodactyla; Suidae. The record is from RNAcentral.
UCUUUUGUCUUUUUAGGGCCGCACCUGUGGCAUAAUGACUGUAACAUUAUUACAGAGGAGAAGCUAUGUUGCUUCUAAGAGGGAAAAGGGAGGAAGAGAGUGGAAGAAAGAGUGAGAUCAGAAGAAGAGAGGCAAGCCAGACGGCACCAUGCCGCCCAGCCCGGCCUCGAAUCCUGGUGGAUUUGGACUGGGACGCGGCCUGCCCAGACUGCCUCAGGGGAGCCAGCUGUGCAACUCCAGCAGUGAUAUCACAUUACUAGCUCAAAAUAACCCAGGGUCGGAGUAUUUAUACCAAGGAAAGUGGUGACUAUCACAAACUGAAGUCACCAGCCCCACCCUUCCUCAGAAAGCCCAUUUCCCAGAACCCCUCUGGAUCCGGGGCAAGAGUCCACGGGCACACCUGAGAGAUAUCGAAGGUUAGGCUGCAGACCGCCGCAGUAAAGCAAAUACGGAAAAAAGUGAGUCACACAGUUCUGGUUUUCAGUGUAUAUAAAAGUUACAUUUACAUUAUACUGUAGUCCAUUAAGUGUGCAAUAGCACUAUGUCUAAAAAAUACACACACCUCGAUUUUAAAACACUUGGUUGCUAAAAAACGUAACCAUCAUCUGACAACCCACAAACCUUCCGCUGGUUAAAAAAUGAAUAAAAAGCAGUACCUGUGAAGUCUAUAAAGCAAAGUACAAUAAAAUAAGGUAUGCCUGUAAAUAGAAGCCAGCGUAACACAUCUAAAUACUGACAGCUCUAAGUUGGGUGAUGAGCGAUUACGUGAAAGAGGCUUGACCCUCCUCCUCUGACCAGUACACGGUUAGAAUGACUCGAAAAGGUUGUUUCAGAUUUCGCUUUCUCAGACCCUUGGGGCUCCACGAGGGAACGUGGAGAGACAGCUGGCUGCUUGGCUGCGGGGCCCCCCAACCCUGGGCUAGAGGCAGCUCCCCUUCCAAUCCUACCCAUCGGCUCACUCCACAGGGCAAAGGCCCUGUGUGCACGUGCGGCCAGCCUAAAAUGCACGUCCACUCACACCUACACCUCUUUGUAAACCUGUGUCCCUCUGGGGCCCUUGGGGACUGUGGCUGUGGACUCCAGGUGGGCUGUCUGCCCUAGGACUGAACCAGCAAGCAGGCUCUGCGAGUCCUGAGGUAGGCUCGGGGCUGUUUGGGUAGAUGUUUCUGGCUCACAGGCACCCUGAGCAUGGUGUAGAAGAAAGUGGUGCAGGACACAGGUGAGCAGGCCUUCUGGGCCCCACGGACCCCUUGCCCCGUGGGAGCGUGUAGCCAGAGGAGGUCAGAAUCGGGCUCUCCAGAGCAGGGCGCUUAGCACAGGCGCUCUUCCUGCAGGGCUAAGGAUAUACCAUUGUGCUGGCUUGCACCAUGGCCCCCUCUCGGGAUCCUCCAGAUUCCAAGCAAAUUCUGUAAAAUCUCGAAAUGCCUGGGUUACGAGGCGUUUCCCUCUGGAAACUGGAGAAGACACGAGUGUUCUCUGGGAAAACGUUUUCCCAUACAGGUUAUUACAAACUACUGAAUAGAUUUUCUAGGUAGGACUGAUUCACUUUGCUGUACACCUGAAACGAAUACAACACUGUAAGUCAACUCUACUCCAAUAAAAUUAUUUAAAAAAAAGAAAAUGCCAUUCUGUCCCCCAGCUGCCCAAGCCAGACACCUGAGUUAUUCUUGGUGUUUCUGCCUCUCUCCCGGAGCUCAGCUAAGCAUGUUGCAAACUGACCCAAGUCGAACUGACUGUUAACAACUGUUAGAUGCUUACUGGGAGAUCCUUACUGGGCGAGAGCCUCCAGCAGUUAGAGGUGGGUGGAGACUUCAAGUUGCUGAACCCAAGAUUCAUGAAAUGUUGGCAGGUCACUCUAGAGUCAAGCCUCAGAUUACACUCUGCUCUGCCUCAUGAUCAGCAAGCAGGACCCUGUUCCAGUAAACUCAGCUCAAUCCACUGGGUACUGUGUUCGCUGAGGUGGGGCAGAGCUGAUGCAGCAAAGAGAUCCGACAGCAGGACAAUAGUUUGGCAAGAGUCUAAAGGGGACAUUUCAAGUCAGCAGGUGGCCUCUAUUCCAUGCAGUUACCUGGGCACUCAGGUUCCUUCUAACCACCCGAUACCCCACCACCUCCAGGGCUUUCGCUGCUUGGUCUCAAGGCUUAGGCCCCCAAACCUAAGUGCACAUACUCCGACAUUCCAUCAGACAAAACACAGCCAUGUGGCCAUAUCUAUCCACCAGGUGGGCUCUAAGUUUGGUGCAGCCAUGCACCUAGGAAGAAGGGCAGAAUGGAUUUUUUUUUGGUGGAUGACCAGUUGACACGACCACUGGCAUAUUGCCAAAUAUCUUUCAUGAAAGAGUUGAUCAAGGCAGAUACAAAAAUAUUCUAGAGGCAGGUUCAGCUCACUCCUCAUAGUGAGAACAGGUAGCAGAAUCUUCGGUUUUAGUCCACAGCCGGAGCCACGGAGACUGCGCAGAAGGCUGCGAUCUGCAGGGCUCGUACACCCACACAGUCCUACACAGACAAGAGGCAGAGGUGCCUCUGCAAUGCUGGUAGUUAAAACAGGUCCUGGAACACUGCUCAUUUUGCCCAUUAAAAUUAUGUCUGCCUUUUCUUUGGCUAGUGAGCGAGCCUAACACUUAGCACAGUGAAAUGGAAAUAGGUGAACUGCUUGUAAUAAGUAUUCUGGAACAUGAAGACCUGACAAAGCCAUUUCAAAUAUGCCCUGGAGAGUAAAUUCCCGAUAAGGGGAUUUCACAUGCUUAUUAUAAUCUCCAGAUUAAAACUAACAAACACAGGCAUAUCACAUUGCUCAGGCCCUGGAAUCAGACUGAGCACAUUACACAUACACAUAAACAUAAACACAGAGACUAGCUAUCAGAAUACAGAUGGUAAUUACCAGGUAGGGGUCAUUCUGUUCAGUUGUCAAUAUACAUAUAUUCCCAGAGAGAAUAUGUAAUUCAGGAUCUUAUGAUGAAGAAAACAAAGGGAUUUAAGAAUGACUAAAUCGGAGUUCCCGUCAUAGCGCAGCGGAAGCGAAUCCGACUAGGAACCAUGAGGAUGCAGGUUCGACCCCUGGCCUUGCUCAGUGGAUUAAGGAUCUGGUGCUGCCUUGAGCUAUGGUAGAGGUCACAGAUAUGGCUCAGAUCCCAUGUUGCUGUGGCUGUGGUGCAGGCCAGCAGCUGAUUCAGUCCCUAGCCCUGGAACUUACAUAUGCUAUGCAUGUGGCCCUAAAAAGCAAAAAAAAAAAAAAAAAAAAAAAAAAAAGAAUGACUAAUCCAUUCUGCAGUUUACACAAUUCUAUUUUUUAGGGCCGCACUCUCAGCAUAUGUAGGUUCCCAGGCUAGGGGUGGAAUUGGAGCUGUAGCUGCCAGCUUACACCACAGCCAUAGCAGCUUGGGAUCCGAGCCAUGUCUGUGGCCUACACCAUAGCUCACAGCAACACCAGAUCCUUAACCCACUGAUCGAGCCCAGGGAUGGAACCUGCAACCUCAUGGUUCCUAGUCGGAUUCGCUAACCUCUGAGCCACAAAGGGGACUCCUUUACAAAAUUCUAAAAGCCCUCAUGUCAUUUCCACUUCCUCCCCUCUAAGGAACUGGCCAUAACAGCUCACCUCUGUGCCCAGGGGAGUAUUUCAGUGAUGGCUUGGAUCCUCUUUUUGGGGUUCCACACUGCUCUCAUCUUACACCAGUUGGAGACAUUCAUUUCCUCUUUCUAGGUCUUCAUUAUUUUUAUUUUAUUUUAUUUUAGCUUUUUAGGGCCACACCCACGGCAUAUGGAAGUUCCCAGGCUAGGGAUUGGAUCAGAGCUACAGCUGCUGGCCUUUGCCACAGCCACAGCCACUCGGGAUCUGAGCCGCAUCUGUGACCUAUACCACAGCUCAUGGCAACACCAGAUCCUUAACCCACUGAGCGAGGCCAAGGAUCGAACGGGCAACCUCAUGGUUCCUAGUCGGAUUCGUUUCCGCUGCGCCACAAUGGGAACUCCAGGAAAGUGGUUCUCAUUUUUUUACUUCAGUCUUGGCGCAAAAUAUAGUUUUCAACCAGUGAUAUAGUCCUUCUCAAUUCCUUUGCCCAUGAUUGUGUUACUGCCUGUGAAGGGGCAAUACAACGGGUGGUUAAAGCAAGGGCUCUGGAUGGAUAAGACGGGGCUGACUCCCAGGUCAUGACACACCUCCUGUGUGACACUGUCCUCAUUACCCAGCCUUCCUCUUCCUCCAUUUCCUUCCUAUAAAAUAAGUGAAUAGGUGCAAAGUGCUUGGAGCAAUACCUGGACACAGUAGCACCAAACAGGUGUUGGCUACUAUAAGUUUCUCCAGACAGACCUGUAGACUGACUCAUCCAUUUUAGGGUUUUUUAUUUUGAGAAGUAAAUCAGUAACACAUACUUUUAUACUUUAACUAUCAUUCUUAGCACAUCACACACUGUUUCUCCACUGGGCAAUUGCAGAUACAGGGUCAGAGAGUUGCUGGGGUUGUUUUGAAAUUUAAGUUGCUUAAGACUGUGAUUCUGGGAUAGAAAAAAUUACCUUUUCUUUGUCCUUUAUCAGCUGUCUCUCUUUUAGACACUUAACUGAUUAUCAGUCUUUCUAUAUGAAGGCAUAAAGAGAUUUUAAAAAAGAGAAGUGAAAUAAUUUUUUUAAAGAAAAAAGGUCAGCAGCAGGCAGCUGCUGAAAGAAAGCCUAAAAAAGUUUUCACACCACCCAUGCACUAAAUUUAUCUACAUACUAUCUGCGGUUAAAAGAUCUAUAAAAUGGCUAAAAGAUGAAUACGAUUUGGAGGAUACCUCAUCAAAAAUUACACAUAGAUUAAAACACACUUGGAGUUCCAACCGUGGAGCAGUGGAAACGAAUCUGACUAGUAUCCAUGAGGACGCAGGUUCAAUCCUUGACCUCGCUCAGGGGGUUAAGGAUUCGGCAUGGCCGUGAGUUGUGCUGUAGGUCGCAGCUGCUGUGGCUGUGGUGUAGGCUGGCAGCUACAGCUCCAAUUCGACCCCU